AUAUUGUGAUUUCCUUAUGACAUAGUUGUAAUGGAUUAUUUAUUGAAAAUUAACUGAACCUUCCUCAGUCUGUAUGUUUGUGCAUAUGCUGUUUCUUUUUAAGUUCAUGUAAAUUUAUUUAAUAGAAUCCUAGAAAUGGCACAUUUAACUCAUUGUUAACUCAUAUGACAAAAGAUACAGUGAUAUAGCCUUUUUGCGCUUAGCAACCUAAAGCAAAACCAACCAAUCAAUCAAUCAUAUGAUAAAGGCAAUAAUCAAUCAUAUCUGUCAUAUCUUUGAAAGAAUCACACCAACAAAAACAGUGUUUUUUUUUUGUAACAAAGGUAACUUUAAAAAUUUGAAUACUUAAUGUACAAGAC
RNAcentral lists this long non-coding RNA (359 nucleotides) under Mytilus galloprovincialis (Mediterranean mussel). The record is from RNAcentral. Lineage: Eukaryota; Metazoa; Mollusca; Bivalvia; Mytilida; Mytilidae.